GACGAACGCUGGCGGCGUGCUUAACACAUGCAAGUCGAGCGAGGCCCUUCCUUCGGGAAGGUGCCCUAGCGGCGAACGGGUGAGUAACACGUGGGCAACCUGCCCCUAGCACUGGGAUAACUCCGGGAAACCGGGGCUAAUACCGGAUACGACCUUUGAAGGCAUCUUCGAAGGUGGAAAAGGUUACUGGCUAGGGAUGGGCCCGCGGCCUAUCAGCUUGUUGGGUGGGGUAACGGCCUACCAAGGCGACGACGGGUAGCCGGCCUGAGAGGGCGACCGGCCACACUGGGACUGAGACACGGCCCAGACUCCUACGGGAGGCAGCAGUGGGGAAUAUUGCACAAUGGGCGAAAGCCUGAUGCAGCGACGCCGCGUGAGGGAUGACUGCCUUCGGGUUGUAAACC
This 404-nucleotide ribosomal RNA is filed under the name uncultured bacterium. RNAcentral's name for it is "bacterial SSU rRNA". It matches the Rfam family "Bacterial small subunit ribosomal RNA", at positions 28 to 431 of the family's 1533-position model. The record is from RNAcentral.